Molecule: ribosomal RNA, 687 nt
Filed under: uncultured Streptococcus sp.
Lineage: Bacteria; Bacillati; Bacillota; Bacilli; Lactobacillales; Streptococcaceae
Description: bacterial SSU rRNA
Rfam family: Bacterial small subunit ribosomal RNA
Source: RNAcentral
CACGCCGUAAACGAUGAGUGCUAGGUGUUAGGCCCUUUCCGGGGCUUAGUGCCGGAGCUAACGCAAUAAGCACUCCGCCUGGGGAGUACGACCGCAAGGUUGAAACUCAAAGGAAUUGACGGGGGCCCGCACAAGCGGUGGAGCAUGUGGUUUAAUUCGAAGCAACGCGAAGAACCUUACCAGGUCUUGACAUCCCGAUGCUAUUCUUAGAGAUAGGAAGUUACUUCGGUACAUCGGAGACAGGUGGUGCAUGGUUGUCGUCAGCUCGUGUCGUGAGAUGUUGGGUUAAGUCCCGCAACGAGCGCAACCCUUAUUGUUAGUUGCCAUCAUUAAGUUGGGCACUCUAGCGAGACUGCCGGUAAUAAACCGGAGGAAGGUGGGGAUGACGUCAAAUCAUCAUGCCCCUUAUGACCUGGGCUACACACGUGCUACAAUGGUCGGUACAACGAGUUGCGAGCCGGUGACGGCAAGCUAAUCUCUGAAAGCCGAUCUCAGUUCGGAUUGGAGGCUGCAACUCGCCUCCAUGAAGUCGGAAUCGCUAGUAAUCGCGGAUCAGCACGCCGCGGUGAAUACGUUCCCGGGCCUUGUACACACCGCCCGUCACACCACGAGAGUUUGUAACACCCGAAGUCGGUGAGGUAACCUUUUAGGGGCCAGCCGCCUAAGGUGGGAUGGAUGAUUGGGGUG